UACGUAGGGGGCAAGCGUUGUCCGGAUUUAUUGGGCGUAAAGAGCGUGUAGGCGGCCAGACAGGUCCGUUGUGAAAACUGGAGGCUCAACCUCCAGACGUCGACGGAAACCGUCUGGCUAGAGUCCGGAAGAGGAGAGUGGAAUUCCUGGUGUAGCGGUGAAAUGCGCAGAUAUCAGGAAGAACACCCGUGGCGAAAGCGGCUCUCUGGGACGGUACUGACGCUGAGACGCGAAAGCGUGGGGAGCGAACAGG
RNAcentral lists this ribosomal RNA (253 nucleotides) under uncultured bacterium. RNAcentral's name for it is "partial 16S ribosomal RNA". It matches the Rfam family "Bacterial small subunit ribosomal RNA", at positions 524 to 776 of the family's 1533-position model. The record is from RNAcentral.